CGGGGUAUAGCGCAGACUGGUAGCGCGCACGCUUGGGGUGCGUGAGGUCGUGGGUUCAAAUCCCGCUACCCCGACCA
RNAcentral lists this transfer RNA (77 nucleotides) under bacterium. RNAcentral's name for it is "tRNA-Pro". It matches the Rfam family "tRNA". From Rfam's summary of the family: Transfer RNA (tRNA) molecules are approximately 80 nucleotides in length. Their secondary structure includes four short double-helical elements and three loops (D, anti-codon, and T loops). The record is from RNAcentral.